This 233-nucleotide ribosomal RNA is filed under the name uncultured bacterium. RNAcentral's name for it is "partial 16S ribosomal RNA". It matches the Rfam family "Bacterial small subunit ribosomal RNA", at positions 524 to 752 of the family's 1533-position model. The record is from RNAcentral.
UACGAAGGGGGCGAGCGUUGUUCGGAUUUACUGGGCGUAAAGGGCGCGCAGGCGGCUCAUUUUGUCAGGCGUGAAAGCCCCGGGCUUAACCUGGGAACUGCGUUUGAGACGGAUGGGCUAGAGUUCGGGAGAGGAGAGUGGAAUUCCCAGUGUAGAGGUGAAAUUCGUAGAUAUUGGGAAGAACACCGGUGGCAGGAAGGCGGCUCUCUGGACCGAUACUGAGCGCAUGAGGC